Xenopus laevis (African clawed frog) is the source of this 2123-nucleotide long non-coding RNA. RefSeq lists it as uncharacterized. The record is from RefSeq and is a predicted model, not a curated record. NCBI's taxonomy places the organism in Eukaryota, Metazoa, Chordata, Amphibia, Anura, Pipidae. The transcript has 3 exons.
UUAGUCCUAAUUAUCCCAUAAGCUGCACUUUGACCAAUUAAAAAAACAGCAGAUAGACACCCUAAAUAUCAUCUUAAAGCGCCACCAGGCUGCCCUUCCAUCAAGUGCUUUUGGCCCUAUGUUUAUCAUUAAUUAAUAUUGGGCAAAUUUGCACCCUGGCAUUAACCCAUAGCAACCAAUCCUUUUUCAACUGGCUGCUAGUGAUCUGAUUGGUUGUCCUGGGAUCCUGGCCAGAUAAUCUGAAUGAGGGUGAAAGAAAUACAAAUUACGUUGUGUUUAUAUAAAAUAAUAUUUCUCUCGUUUAUCAUUAUAAUAUGAUCUUUAUAAUAAAUAUGUUUUCCCAGUCUUGCAGAACACCACUCGACUGUGGAAGCCCAAGUUGCGGCGCCCAACUUUUGUUUUUGUCAAACAAAAUGUCAUGCCAACUUUGAAAGAAGGAGAGUUAGAGCGCCCAACUGCUGAUACCACCAAAGCAGACAAUGGGCCUGUCAAUGUCACCCCAAGGUGGAAAAAAGAUGAGUCACGUCGCCCAACUGCUGGUAAGUUAUACCAUUAUUAUACCCUUCCAUGUACAUAAUGAUAUUUAUAUUAUAUGCCAAGUGUACUGAGCUCAUAAAAUUAAUUAUAUCUAUAUUUUCCUACUAGAUACCACCAAAGCAGACUAUGGGCCUGUCAACAGAAAAAGAAAAAUGGGUAAGCUUUUAGUUAGUCUUUACAUUUUUUACUAUUUAGAUUGUUUUAAGCUUGACUUUAAGGUCAGGGCCUUCUCUUGCCACAUAACAAAGUUAGGGAUUAAUAGAUUUAUACAAGUAUCAUUCUGUAGUUACAAGUAUAUCCAGUCCUGCAAAGAAGUGCCCUCCCCAUAUUAACCAGAGUGUUGAGGCCUGUGGCCAUUCCGUUAAGGCAGAACACAGUGUGCAAAGCGCAAAAAAGUGGCCGAUUGUGGCAUUUUUGUUUGCACACUGCAUUCUGCAUAGUAAAUGACCCCAUAGUUGUAAAAUACAUCAUAUUAUAGAAGAUAUUCUGUUAACAAUGACACUGACUGCUACAUAGCACCACAUUGAUUGCUAUUACUAGAUUUGAGGGUUAUGCGUUUGAUCCCUAAAAUCUUCUGUAGGUAGUCUGUAUGUUAUCAUUUGUUUUUUGGGGUUUUGCGCCCAAGCAUGAUUACACUCAUGUUAAUUAGCUUUUUAUAAUAGUGACCCUAGAGUGUGUGGCAGUUCAAGCUUUACUCUAUUGCUCAGCUUAGAUAGGUCAUUGUAUUUCUAUAAAUAUACAUAUAUAUAUAUAUUUAUCUUCUUUGUCUUCUAGACAAUAUCAAUAUAGAAGAAAGAGGCGGCAUGCCUAAAACAAAGGACGAAAGAGGCAAAAUGCCUAAAAAUAUGAAUGAAAGAGGCGGCAUGAAAAAGAAAAUGGAUGAAAGAGGCGAGAUGGCUAAGAAUAUGGAUGAAAGAGGCGAGAUGGCUAAAAGGAGAAAAAUAAGUAAGUUGUUGGCUGUUAAUAAUUCACAGUUCACUUUCUUUCAAGAAUCUAAAAACAUUUGAAAGCUUGACGUUUCAAUAUUAUGGACGUUAAUGCUCUAUGACCCCGUCCUAUACACAUAACUGUUGGAACUGGUGGUAUUGGGAUUGGAAUUGUUGACUUGCAGCACUAUAAUCCUUGUCUUGACUCUGACUAUGUAACUACUGACUACUACUCUCUGUACAGGGAUUAUAUGCUGUCCCUGUGUUUCCAUGAGGUUCAAGCCAAUAAUACAGGGGUAGAUAAACUUGAUAAAGCCCUAGAGAGCAUAUACUAUUAAUUGAGAAAUGGGAAUGUAAGCUCUGCAGGGUGAAGGAAAAACAUGCUAUAUAAUAAUAUAUCCACAAAACCCCAGGUCCCAAGAAUUCCCAUGCCUGUACCAGUUGAUACUAUAAUGUUCUUGGACACAACGUGCAUAAAUCAAGCUAUAUGCAGAAAUAACAUUUAUUCACAAUACAUUACUAUCUUGUGAUUUUUAGCCUUUGAAGAUUUCCCCCCAAAGUGGAAGAGAGAGAGGCAACAUUCUUGGAACCAUGGUGAGAUAUUUUACGUUUUUUGUGUUUUAAGGGUUAAUGUGAAGCAGAAGAAAUAGUUACCAUGAA